GAGUUUGAUCCUGGCUCAGAACUAACGCUGGCGGCGCGUCUUAAACAUGCAAGUCGAACGGUAGUCCUUGAGCUUGCUUAGGGAUGAGAGUGGCGAACGGGUGAGUAACACGUGGAUAAUCUGCCUCCGGGUUGGGGAUAACUGUCCGAAAGGGCAGCUAAUACCGAAUGAGAUGGUGGUUACAUAAGUAGCAGCCAUUAAAGGUGGGGACCGCAAGGCCUACUGCCUGGAGAUGAGUCCGCGGCUGAUUAGCUUGUUGGUGGGGUAACGGCCUACCAAGGCGACGAUCAGUAGCCGGCCUGAGAGGGUGAACGGCCACAUUGGGACUGAGAUACGGCCCAGACUCCUACGGGAGGCAGCAGUUAAGAAUCUUGCACAAUGGGCGCAAGCCUGAUGCAGCGACGCCGCGUGAAUGAUGAAGGCUUUAGGGUUGUAAAGUUCAGUAAGCAGGGAAGAAUAAGCAAGAGGUAAUAUUUCUUGUGAUGACGGUACCUGCCUAAAGCCCCGGCUAACUACGUGCCAGCAGCCGCGGUAAUACGUAUGGGGCGAGCGUUGUUCGGAAUUAUUGGGCGUAAAGGGCGUCUAGGCGGGAAAUUAAGUUAGGUGUGAAAGCUAUGGGCUCAACCCAUAAACUGCAUCUAAAACUGAUUUUCUUGAGUUCGGGAGAGGAGAGCGGAAUUCCAGGUGUAGCGGUGAAAUGCGUAGAUAUCUGGAAGAACACCAGUGGCGAAAGCGGCUCUCUGGCCUAGAACUGACGCUGAAGCGCGAAAGCGUGGGGAGCGAACAGGAUUAGAUACCCUGGUAGUCCACGCUGUAAACGUUGUAUACUAGGUGUUAGUGGCUUGUCCACUAGUGCCGCAGCAAACGCAUUAAGUAUACCGCCUGGGGAGUACGCCC
RNAcentral lists this ribosomal RNA (897 nucleotides) under uncultured bacterium. RNAcentral's name for it is "bacterial SSU rRNA". It matches the Rfam family "Bacterial small subunit ribosomal RNA", at positions 9 to 887 of the family's 1533-position model. The record is from RNAcentral.